GGACCCAUCCUUAGGAACCCGGUACCCGCCUCAGGGACCCGGGACCCUCCUUGGGGACCCCCCUCAGGGACCCGGGACCCCCCUCAGGGACCCGGCACCCCCCUCGGGGACCCAUCCUCCCCCCUCACCCCCGUCCCCGUCCUCCUCUCCCCGCGUCCUCUCCCCGCCUCACGCCUUCCCCCCGGCGAACGCCAGCUCCCCGCGGGGAGACCCCGGGGCCGGCGCCUCGCGCAGCGCCCCCCAGUCCCCUUCGGGUCCCCCUCCGAGCUCCUUGCGGGCCGCGGCGGCGGCGGCGGCGGCGCCGGGGGGUGGCAGAGCCCCCGCGGCCAGGCGGUGCCGGCGCUCGCAGUGCCCCUUGUGCCGCAUGAAGCUGUCGCGCCACAUGAACUUCUUGGCGCAGACGGCGCACUGGUAGGGCUUGAGGCCGGUGUGGGUCUUCAUGUGCUCGGUGAGGUGGUGCUUCAUCUUGAACUUCUUGCCGCAGACGGGGCAGUCGAAGGGCCGCAGGUUGAGGUGCAUGUUGACGUGGCGGUCCCGCAUGCUCUUGUGCGAGAAGGCCUUCCCGCAGUGGCACAUGAAGAUCUUGUUGCCGUCGGGCGCCGCCGCCGCCAGCUGCACGGCGCCGUGCUCGGCCGGCGCCUGGGCCGGGAACACCAGGAUCUGGUUGCCUUGCAUGUCCAUGGGGAGCAGCGAGCGCGGGGCAAAGCCCGCCGGGCCCCCGGCCUCCUCCAGCGCCUCGUAGGGCGAGGAGAAAUCCUCGGAGGACUCGCAGAAGUUCACCUGCUCCUCCAGCUUGGCGGAGGAAGGAGGGGGAGGAGGAGGAGGAGGAGGAGGAGGAGGCCGUGAGGGUCCCUCGGCCCGCGCCGGGCCCUCCACGGGGUCCUCGUCCUCCUCGCAGGUGAGGACCAGGUCCUCCUGCAGCCACUCCUGCUUGACGUAGACCCACUGCUUCUGGGGCACGAUGCUGGGCUGCACGUAGAGGGGGCGCCGCGCGGCCUCGCCGUCCUCUUCCUCGGCC
RNAcentral lists this long non-coding RNA (1018 nucleotides) under Anser brachyrhynchus (Pink-footed goose). RNAcentral's name for it is "lncRNA (ENSABRG00000000440.1)". The record is from RNAcentral. Lineage: Eukaryota; Metazoa; Chordata; Aves; Anseriformes; Anatidae.